UUUCGCUACUUUUAAGUAUGGAGCAAUCUCAAUGAUUCUUCCGUGGCGACACUUAUGGAAGCCUUUGCAGCCCCGCAAGGGGUGGGGAGCACGACUGUAAAUAAGUCUCCCUUCAUGCAAGUCAGCACCCGCUGGCAACACGAUCGAAUUGACGGGGACGUCCUAAAGCCUACAACACCAACCCGCCCGGGAAACCGAGGCGGGGGCCCGUGCUAACUCCACGGGGUGGUAAAAGAGUGUAUGGAUACUCCCUCUGGGGAACUAUGGAUAAUCCGCAGCGAAGACCCUAAGUAGCGCUAGCUAUACGGGUAACGUUCACAGACUAAGUGGUUGUGGGUGGAGCCUAGCUCUGCUUAAGAUAUAGUCGGGCCCUACGUGAAAGCGCAGGGGUGAGUCGCUACGAACUCGAAACCGUUCCGUAGGUGAACCUGCGGAAGGAUCAUUACAGUAGUCGCCCGGGUUGCCGCAAGGCCUCCCGGGUAACCUACCACCCUUUGUUUAUUACACUUUGUUGCUUUGGCAGGCCUGCCCUCGGGCUGCUGGCUCCGGCCGGCGAGCGCUUGCCAGAGGACUAAACUCUGUUUGUCUAUACUGUCUGAGUACUAUAUAAUAGUUAAAACUUUCAACAACGGAUCUCUUGGUUCUGGCAUCGAUGAAGAACGCAGCGAAAUGCGAUAAGUAAUGUGAAUUGCAGAAUUCAGUGAAUCAUCGAAUCUUUGAACGCACAUUGCGCCCCCUGGUAUUCCGGGGGGCAUGCCUGUCCGAGCGUCAUUACAACCCUCAAGCUCAGCUUGGUAUUGGGCCCCGCCGACCCGGCGGGCCCUAAAGUCAGUGGCGGUGCCGUCCGGCUCCGAGCGUAGUAAUUCUUCUCGCUCCGGAGGUCCGGUCGUGUGCUUGCCAGCAACCCCCAAUUUUUUCAGGUUGACCUCGGAUCAGGUAGGGAUACCCGCUGAACUUAA
This 959-nucleotide ribosomal RNA is filed under the name Pseudogymnoascus destructans. Its description in RNAcentral is "eukaryotic LSU rRNA". The stretch from base 618 to 771 matches the Rfam family "5.8S ribosomal RNA". The record is from RNAcentral. Lineage: Eukaryota; Fungi; Ascomycota; Leotiomycetes; Thelebolales; Thelebolaceae.